UUGGGGCACUGAAUACAUUAGCAUGGGAUAAUAAAAUAGGAUCUUCACAUAUAUUUUAUUGGUUUAAAUUGGAUAUGAAGAUAAUGAUUAAUAGGGACAGUUGGGGUAUCAUAUUGGGUGGUUAGCGGUGAAAUGCUCGGAUCCAUUCAAGAUGAACUAAAGCGAAGGCAUUUACCAAGGAUGUUUUCAUUAAUCAAGAACGAAAGUUAAGGGAUCGAAGACGAUUAGAUACCGUCGUAGUCUUAACUAUAAACUAUGCCGACCAGGGAUAUGAGUUGUUAGGAUUAUACGAAAGUAUAAUCAAUUUCUUCUUAUGGACCUUGUGAGAAAUCAUAAGUUUUUUGGGUUCUGGGGGGGAGUAUGGUCGCAAGGCUGAAACUUAAAGGAAUUGACGGAGGGGC
This 401-nucleotide ribosomal RNA is filed under the name uncultured eukaryote. RNAcentral's name for it is "bacterial SSU rRNA". It matches the Rfam family "Eukaryotic small subunit ribosomal RNA", at positions 787 to 1165 of the family's 1831-position model. The record is from RNAcentral.